RNAcentral lists this ribosomal RNA (301 nucleotides) under uncultured bacterium. Its description in RNAcentral is "partial 16S ribosomal RNA". It matches the Rfam family "Bacterial small subunit ribosomal RNA", at positions 509 to 807 of the family's 1533-position model. The record is from RNAcentral.
CAGCCGCCGCGGGAAUACGUAGGUGGCAAGCGUUGUCCGGAAUUAUUGGGCGUAAAGGGCUCGCAGGCGGUUUCUUAAGUCUGAUGUGAAAGCCCCCGGCUCAACCGGGGAGGGUCAUUGGAAACUGGGAAACUUGAGUGCAGAAGAGGAGAGUGGAAUUCCACGUGUAGCGGUGAAAUGCGUAGAGAUGUGGAGGAACACCAGUGGCGAAGGCGACUUUCUGGUCUGUAACUGACGCUGAGGAGCGAAAGCGUGGGGAGCGAACAGGAUUAGAUACCCGGGUAGUCCCUGUCUCUUAUAC